RNAcentral lists this ribosomal RNA (347 nucleotides) under uncultured bacterium. RNAcentral describes it as "partial 16S ribosomal RNA". It matches the Rfam family "Bacterial small subunit ribosomal RNA", at positions 338 to 683 of the family's 1533-position model. The record is from RNAcentral.
CCUACGGGCGGCAGCAGUGAGGAAUAUUGGUCAAUGGGCGCGAGCCUGAACCAGCCAAGUCGCGUGAGGGAAGACGGUCCUAUGGAUCGUAAACCUCUUUUGUCGGGGAGCAAAAGCUGCGACGCGUGGCCGUCCGAGAGUACCCGAAGAAAAAGCAUCGGCUAACUCCGUGCCAGCAGCCGCGGUAAUACGGAGGAUGCGAGCGUUAUCCGGAUUUAUUGGGUUUAAAGGGUGCGCAGGCGGAGGGUCAAGUCAGCGGUAAAAGCGGGGGGCUCAACCCCGGCGAGCCGUUGAAACUGGGUGUCGUGAGAGGGCGAGAGGUAUGCGGAAGGCGGGGGGGAGCGGUG